Methylibium sp. NZG is the source of this 84-nucleotide regulatory RNA element. It matches the Rfam family "SucA RNA motif". NCBI's taxonomy places the organism in Bacteria, Pseudomonadati, Pseudomonadota, Betaproteobacteria, Burkholderiales, Sphaerotilaceae. The record is from Rfam.
UCGCUAGUCCGCCAACCGGUCAAGCCGUGUCGCGGAAGGUUUUCAACCCAUCGGAGUGCCGGUUGCCGGCGCGAAAGGUGAGCG